Molecule: non-coding RNA, 23 nt
Filed under: Arabidopsis thaliana (thale cress)
Lineage: Eukaryota; Viridiplantae; Streptophyta; Magnoliopsida; Brassicales; Brassicaceae
Source: RNAcentral
AAUCCCUUUAAAACACUUGUAAA